GACGAACGCUGGCGGCGUGCUUAACACAUGCAAGUCGAGCGACUGCAUUCUUUUCGGAGGGUGUAUGGAGCGGCGAACGGGUGAGUAACACGUGAGUAAUCUGCCUUUGGCUUGGGAAUAACUUCGGGAAAUCGGGGCUAAUGCCUGAUGUUUACUGUCUGCUGCAUGGUGGGUGGUGGAAAGAUUUUUUGGCCAGGGAUGAGCUCGCGGUCUAUCAGCUGUUGGUGGGGUAAUGGCUUACCAAGGCUUUGACGGGUAGCCGGCCUGAGAGGACGACCAGCCAC
Molecule: ribosomal RNA, 284 nt
Filed under: uncultured bacterium
Lineage: Bacteria
Description: partial 16S ribosomal RNA
Rfam family: Bacterial small subunit ribosomal RNA
Source: RNAcentral